RNAcentral lists this ribosomal RNA (523 nucleotides) under uncultured Clostridiaceae bacterium. RNAcentral describes it as "bacterial SSU rRNA". It matches the Rfam family "Bacterial small subunit ribosomal RNA", at positions 8 to 526 of the family's 1533-position model. Lineage: Bacteria; Bacillati; Bacillota; Clostridia; Eubacteriales; Clostridiaceae. The record is from RNAcentral.
AGGGUUUGAUCCUGGCUCAGGAUGAACGCUGGCGGCAUGCCUAACACAUGCAAGUCGAACGAAGUUACCGGAGCAGCGGACUUAGGUUCAACGCACCGACUAACUUAGUGGCGGAUGGGUGAGUAACACGUGAGCAACCAACCUUUUACUCGGGAAUAACAUGGGGAAACCCAUGCUAAUACCUGAUAUUAUCAAGAAAUGGCAUCAUAAUUUGAUGAAAGAUUUAUCGGUAAAAGACGGGCUCGCGUCCGAUUAGCUAGUUGGUAAGGUAAUGGCUUACCAAGGCCACGAUCGGUAGCCGGACUGAGAGGUCGACCGGCCACAUUGGGACUGAGAACGGCCCAGACUCCUACGGGAGGCAGCAGUGGGGAAUAUUGGGCAAUGGACGCAAGUCUGACCCAGCGAUGCCGCGUGAAGGAUGGAAGGCCCUCGGGUUGUAAACUUCUUUAGACAGGGAAGAAAGAAAUGACAUUACCUGUAGAAUAAGCCACGGCUAACUACGUGCCAGCCGCCGCGGUAAUAC